AGCGAACGCUGGCGGCGUGCUUAACACAUGCAAGUCGAGCGCCCCUCCUUCAAGCGAGCUUGAAGGACCUUAAAACAAACAAGCGACCCGAAGGGUCGCUUGAUGGAGGGGAGCGGCAGACGGGUGAGUAACGCGUGGGAACGUGCCCUUCGGUUCGGAAUAGCUCCGGGAAACUGGAAUUAAUACCGGAUACGCCCCUAGGGGAAAGAUUAUCGCCGAAGGAUCGGCCCGCGUCAGAUUAGGUUAGGGUUGGGGUAAGUGGCCUACCAAGCCGAUGAUCUGUAGGUGGUCUGAGAGGACGAUCACCCACACUGGGACUGAGACACGG
RNAcentral lists this ribosomal RNA (328 nucleotides) under uncultured bacterium. Its description in RNAcentral is "partial 16S ribosomal RNA". It matches the Rfam family "Bacterial small subunit ribosomal RNA", at positions 29 to 329 of the family's 1533-position model. The record is from RNAcentral.